CCGAAUGGGCACGCCCCAUUGUCCUGGCACAGUAGCAGCAUGCCCAGUGAGGAGUAGGAGUCUAUGGAGAUCUCUCCAUGGGCACAGGAUAAGGAUUUGUCAUAUUGCUAUUAUUAAAAAAUUUGGAUCCUGCUUUUCUCUAACUGCAGCAGUUUUUUAAUGUUGCAACGAUCGCCAGUAUUUGCCUUUUCUUUCUCUCCAACUCUGUCUCUCCAUUAAUUCUUUUACAGCUUUGCUGUUUACAUCAGUUUUCCCGCACGGAAAACGGUUCUUUCUCUUCCCGCCGUAAAUAAUCUGACUCUGGAAGAGUUCCACCACCCUCUCUUGCUUGCAGAACCUUCUCUUGCUGAAGAGCUGUACUUUCUUAUGGCAAAUUUAACAGCCUCGCUGGCAACGAGCGCUCCACUUAAUUUACGUCUUGAAAUCCAGGCCUCUGCUGGUUAGCUCCACCAAAGCUGCCUGUCACAUCUCAUUAGAUACAGAUUUUAUCUUCCAUUCACUUGGCUUUUUGGCAGAUAGUGUCACGAUGGGGAUGAGCAGGAAUUUGGGAGAAUGGCCUAUAUUGCCCCUAACUUAGUCCAAUGCCUCAGAUGCAGACCCAGCUUAUGAAAGCUUAGUAAUAUCAUUUAUUGUACUUCCUUCAAAAUUCCACCUACAUCUGUAGUUACUUUGGAAGGAAAACAGUCUACGUUGAGAGAACUGCAUAUCAUCUGCUCUCAGGCUUCCCAUAGGCAUCUGCUUGGCCACCGUGAGAAAAGGAUGCUGGACUAGAUGAGCCAUUGGCCUGAUCCAGCAGGGCUGUUCUUAUUCUAAAACUCUUCUAUAGCACAGACUCGUGCUGAUCUCGUCUCACGUGAUGCGAUUAAAUGUACAAGGCUUGCAUGCUGACUUCCCUUUACCAUUCCUGGAGUGUGAAAAUGCCUGCUCUGAAAAAUGGCACGGGGCUAAAAUUCCAUCCUUUUGAAGCAAAUGGAAUGUGAUCACUUGAGAAGAGUAGCAAAGGCUGUCUCUUCUCAUUUUAAUACCAUUUUACAGCUGAUUUAUUCUGUUAUGAUUUCCACCCCUGCAGGCAAUAGGGGUGUGUGUGUGUGUAGAGAGAGCGAGAGAGAGAUAGAGAGAGAGAGAGGUCACAAUUAGGAGGAUUGGAAAUCUGCUUUAUAUUGAGGCAGACCAUCAAUCCAUCUAGCUCACUGUUGUCCACACUGGCUGGCAACAGCUCUCUAUACUUCCAUAUAGGAGACAAGCCCAGCCUUAACUAGAGAUGCCAAAGAUUUAAUUUGGGACUGUCUCCAUGCAAGCAGAUGCUCGACCACUGAGCUAUGGCCCUUCUCCAGGAAGCUAGAUACCCACACAUGCAUGGGAAACCUUAUACCUUAAGCAUUAAAAUUUAAGGAGAGUUUGAUGGCUUUCUACAAAUUCAUGGUGUGACCAUGCUAUGUAUGAUUCUGGUUGCUGUGUCUCCAAAACCAAACCCAAACAAAAAACAGCAGAGCUGGGGAAAAUGCAGGAAAAAGGCAACCAAAAUGAUUAGGAGCAACUCCCACUAGGAGAAAAGGUUGCAGUUUUGAGGGCUUUUUUUAGUGUAGAAAAAUAAGACCAGGGGAGAUGACGGAGGUAAAUAAAAGUGGGUAGAGAGAACUAUUUCUCCCUCUCAUAAUUCUAAUAUGCAGAGAAUGAAUCUGAACAGUGGGAGAUUUAGGACAAACGUAACAAAGCAAAUACCUCACAUAAACUCACAUAAGCAAAUUCCAUAAUUUGCUUUCACCAGGAACGGCUGCCACUAGAUGGCUUUAAAAUCAGAUUGGACAAAUUCAUGGAGGGUAAAGGCUAUCAGCUGGUACUAGUCAAGCUGGGUAUGCCACCUCCUGGCCCAGAGGCAGCUUGCCUCUGAAUACCAGUCACUGAGGGGAUGGGACAGCAGGAGAUUUGUCGCACUCGUGUCUUGCUUGCGGUCUUCCUGGUUUUCCACUGCAGGGAACAGGAUGCUGGGCUAGAUGGGCCUUUGGUCUGAUCCAGCAGGCCGCCUGCUUAUGAUCUUAAGGUCAACUGCAGAGAUUUGCCUGCAUAUCUAAAUAGCACACCAGGACACUGGUGCAAGUUUAGAAGCAUCAUGGAGAGGUGUACAAGGGGAAAGGUUAUCAUAGCCAUGCUGUUCUGUUAGAGAAAAGUGGCCAUUUCUCUAGGUAUUUUAUUGUAGGUGGGCAGUUGGGGGAUAUGCUUUAUCCUCUUCAUCCUGCCCAGCGGCCUUGUACAGUGGUACCUCGGGUUAAGUACUUAAUUCGUUCUGGAGGUCCGUACUUAACCUGAAGCUGUUCUUAACCUGAACAGUUUAACUUUAGCUAAUGGGGCCUCCCGCUGCUGCUGCACCACCAGAGCAUGAUUUCUGUUCUCAUCCUGAAGCAAAGUUCUUAACCUGAAGCACUAUUUCUGGGUUAGCGGAGUCUGUAACCUGAAGCGUAUGUAACCUGAAGUGUAUGUAACCCAAGGUACCACUGUAUUGAAGCUGCUCCUGGCACAAUGCAAGACUUUUUGCAUUGUGUGAAUUCUUAUUGUGUCGGUCAAGAGUCUUACUCCAACCUCUCUGCCAACCCUGCAUUUGAGGCUCACCAUCCACACCCAGCCAAAUUAACUCUGCCCCGUGGAGCUUAGGUACAGACCGGUCCCACACGGGUCAUGGGAAUGUGUCCCAUGAGAUGCCAAUCUGCCCAGGAAUUCAUCCGACAUGACUUUUCUAAGCCACACUUUCGAAGUUUGGAGUGAUCAAGAGAUGAGAGCACAAAACUGGCUUCUUAAAAAUAUUGCAGUGGAAGAAGGCCUCUGCUGCACUUGUUGCAUUGCAUCAGACAAUGACUUGUCAUAAUACUGUUCAAAGAAAGCAAUAAUUCUCCAAUAUUGGCAUAAGUAACAAAUCAUUGCGGCGCAGAAGUAGAAUACAUAAUCUGAGGUGAGUAUUUUUGACCUCAAGUCAAGUGCUGUGCCUGCAGCUUCCACGGCAGACUAGUUCUUUCCCAAUUCAGGGGUGUUUCUUUUUUUCUUUUUUUGGGACUGAAGUAAAUUGGGCUUGCCAUAAUGUGCUAUUCAAAUAAAUCCUUUUUGUGCUUCUUAGCCAAUCAGGCAACAGUUGGUGCCUGAAUCCCAUCCAACUACUUUUUGCUAACUGCCAGAAUGUUACUUGUCGUAAGUGCAAAGCGGACAUGGUUGCCAGUAAAUCUGCCUUCAUGCCCUUAAGUCAUCUGGUCACCUGCUAUAUGUUCUGCCAAGCUAAUCAGUGCUUGAGAGAAGAUACUUUUGAAUACAGACAGACUCCAGAAGUCUGUUGCUGUUAGGCAUAUUAAAGAAGAUAAAUGGCACAUCUGCAAAACUCUGAGGCAGAUAAACUGUAGUCUGUUUUCCCUAUGCCGGCAUGUAUAAUGAGGCAAGAAUGGAAAAAAAGAAUUUCAAGGUAACUUUGGGGUUUUUUGGUUUUUUUUUUUUUUUGCUUAUAUGCCUAUCAUGAUAAUGCAAAUAAUUUCUCUUGCCUCUCUUCUGAAGGUGUUGAACCCAGGUUGUGUGAUAUGAAUAAUACUACUUCCAUUUCAUGAUCAUUUUAUAUUUUACCUGGUCCAGCACCUAGCCUUGAUGAAUGGUUGAAUCUUUUUUCCUAUUCCCAAACAGAUUAAUUGCAGUAAUUGAAAACCACUGCAUAUGUUACAGGCAGGAUCCUAAGAAUUGUUGUGGUGACAUAAGGGGCCUGCUUUAGCCCAUUGGAAUAUUUAAGCUUUUUGAUUUAGAACAGCAUAUUUUCAGCUGUUGAUUGAGAUUAAUAGAAUGUAAUCUUUUGCACAUUCACUUAAGAGUAAGUCCAGUUAAACCCAAUGAGACAUUUCUGGGUAAACAUGCAUGAAAUUGUGCUGUGAAUGUUCCUUUGUCACACAGAAUGGAUUGCAUAGUUCUUUGGAUCCUGGCCUAUAACUAGAAGAUACCAAUCAUAAAGGAACAUCUCAGUCCUAAAGAUAAAAUGUUCAAGCCAAGUGAAUG
Non-coding RNA from Podarcis lilfordi (Lilford's wall lizard), 4017 nucleotides. The record is from the annotation of a GenBank genome assembly. Lineage: Eukaryota; Metazoa; Chordata; Lepidosauria; Squamata; Lacertidae.